AUGAAGAGUAAAAAUCGCCAGGGGAGGAGAAAACAUCGCUUGCACUAUCCAACCAGCAUACAACUUGCACUGACCAUCCCCAGGUUCCUGCAGAAACGCUUGGAACCUCCGAGAGGGAAGGAUUCCCAGAGCAGAAAUAAGUUUGGGUGCUUGCUUGCUUUUGUAGACGCUCCCUCCGAAUGCGCGUGGAGCGCCCCACAGGACCGCCGCCCUCUGCGCGUUGGCGCGCACACGCCCCCCGCCAGCUUGGGCGCCGGGCUCCGAACCCCCGCCUGCAAACUUGCGCAUCUCCCCUCGCCGCGCCCGACAGACAACUUGGCGAACAGCUCGCUCGCCCGCACCCCGCUUCCUUCGGCCCUUCCUUCAAAUCCCAAACGCACCGCCGUGCUCCAGAGAAGGUGUCCACGUCGCCCCCAGACCCCGGAGCGCCCCCUCUCCACCCCCGGGGCUUCCCAGGUCGCUCACUCCUCCCGCCCCCCGCCUAGAUCUGAGAGGGACCGAAAACACACCCCCGACUCCGGCAGCCGGGGCCGAAACUGUCAAGAGCAGAAAAGAGAUCGCUGGAGAUGGCGAGCUCCGAGACUCCCUCUAUCUUCUGUUUUCAGAGCAACUCUAUGGUACCAAAAAAAAAAAAAAAAAAAAAAAAAAAAAGGAGAAGGCGACCGGCGAGAGCAGGAGGGAGAGAGCAGGCGGCGGCAGGCGGGCGAGCGAGAGCGCGAGGGAGCGCGCGGAGUGUCUGGGUGGACGUGUGUGUGCGCCCGAGAGGGGACAAGAGGCGGGUCUGGCCACAGGCAGCGCUAGCGAGAGCUUCUCCAGCCGGCCCCCACACCCACAUUCCCCACCCUCCAGACCCCAGACCGAGAGCCACAGACUGGCUGCCAAUUUUGGGAGGUGGGGAAAAUAGGGGAGGAGGAGAGCAGAGCCUCCCGCGCCCCAAUCCUCCCCUCUCCCCAGCCCAUGGACAGAAAUUAAAAUCGGUGAGAUGAUUCCGUGCCUACUUCUGAGACUCUCUCGGGAACAGAACUCGUCCCCAUCCGUUGCCAGCCUGGGAAGAGACAAAUCCGAUUGUCCACGUGGGAAAUCGCAGGUAGCCCCCUGCCAGCCCUGCCCAGGGCUGAGGAGAAACUAAAAAGGAAUUAGAACGGGGCUGACAUCCCAAGGAAGGCGGAGGAUGGGAGGACGUGGCACUUUACUUUGGGAUGGGACGGCCAGUGGGUUUCCAAUCUUGGUUAGAGACAUCUGUGUCUAAAACAGAUCUUGUGAGUCUAGAAGCGCCAUGGACAGUCAGUUUCUGGCAUGGUUGAAAGAGGUCGCUUUCAGCUCCUUUGCUGUUUGUCAGCGAAGGACCCAGAAACCAUUUGGCAGGGCAUUUUCUACUGAAGAAAACUUUGGCCUGUUUGGUCGAUGACUGUCUAAGCUGGAUGAAACAUGCCACGCUGCAUCUAACUCAAGCAUGGCUGCUAAUUGUCAAUUCUCACUGGUACUUUUGCUAUUAAAUAUACAGUCUCAUCCAUAAAAGGUAGAUAUACUGGAGAGGCAUUACUAAUGCCCGGAUAACAUUCAGAUAAUUAACAACUCCAAAUAAUUCACAUUAUUGUGGGCAUCAUUCUACACCCUCCUCCCACUGAAAUACACUCAUCCCCUCCUAAAACUCCAGGAAAGCUGAGAAUUGCGUCAUUGUUACCUUGACCCCAAACUCCAAGAUGAAGGAACAAUAAAUUGAAAGAAUGGAAAAUAUUCCAAUGGUAGUAGCCUGAUUUCUCUGCCUUCAUACUCAAUCUACCACUUUCUUUUGCCUGCGAAGACACUGUGGAAAUAUGCCCCACCUUCCUUUCAAAAGGAUCCAAAAUUUUGACAGUAAAUAUUAUUAUAGGCCAGAAGGUGGCAUAAAUAUGUAUGUUUAAGAGCGUGGGGUAGGGGGAGGAAAUUGGGGGACAUUUUUCUUUUGCUGACUUCC
Molecule: long non-coding RNA, 1957 nt
Organism: Macaca mulatta (Rhesus monkey)
Lineage: Eukaryota; Metazoa; Chordata; Mammalia; Primates; Cercopithecidae
Source: Ensembl